CCUGAACGCUGGCGGCGUGGUUAAGACAUGCAAGUCGCACGGAGGUAGCAAUACCUCAGUGGCGAACGGGUGAGUAAUGAAUCGCUAAUGUACCCCGGACUCUGGGACAGCUGCCCGAAAGGGCAGGUAAUACCAGAUGACAUACCCCGUCGGCAUCGACGGGGUCUCAAAGGUCCGCCGGUCUGGGCGCAGGCGAUUUCGUAUCAGCUAGUUGGUGCGGGUAACGGCCCACCAAGGCGACGACGCGUAGCUGGACUGAGAGGUUGGCCGGCCACAUCGGGACUGAGACACUGCCCGGACUCCUACGGGGGGCUGCAGUAACGAAUCUUCCCCAAUGCGCGCAAGCGUGAGGGAGCGACGCCGCGUGUGGGACGAAGUCCUC
Molecule: ribosomal RNA, 382 nt
Filed under: uncultured bacterium
Lineage: Bacteria
Description: bacterial SSU rRNA
Rfam family: Bacterial small subunit ribosomal RNA
Source: RNAcentral